GCGGAAAUGUGGUAACAAUAGAAAUGGCCACUCUCUCAUUUUCGAUAUUUCGCCUCCUGUACAUUUAUCUUUGGGAAAAGGUGGGUCAUGUUGCAUAUCAGAUUCAAGGGAAUUCAGAGAGGAAUACAACGGUGUAUAAACUGUUUCUCUACUCCGAACGGUUGACGAGAAAAUCGGGAAAAACCGAAAAAAAUGACACUCAUUUUUUCUGGUUUUUGCCGUUUCUACGACUUGUCGUAAACCUGAGAAAUCCGACACUGAGAAAAUAAGAAACGGCAUGACCUGCGCUUGAAUUUGGUACAUAAAUUAUCUCUGUAAGUGAAACGGUUGCCGAGAAAAUGGCGGAAAAGUGGUAACAAUAGAAGCGGCCACUUUCUCAUUUUCCAUAUUUCGCCUCCUGUACAUUUAUCUUUGGGAAAAAGUUCGUCAUGUUGCAUAUCGAAUUCAAGGAAAU
Molecule: long non-coding RNA, 454 nt
Filed under: Androctonus crassicauda
Lineage: Eukaryota; Metazoa; Arthropoda; Arachnida; Scorpiones; Buthidae
Source: RNAcentral